CCUACGGGAGGCAGCAGUGGGGAAUAUUGGGCCAUGGGCGCAAGCCUGACCCAGCAACGCCGCGUGCAGGAAGAAGGCUUUCGGGUUGUAAACUUCUUUUAUCAGGGACGAAGCAAGUGACGGUACCUGAUGAAUAAGCCACGGCUAACUACGGGCCAGCAGCCGCGGUAAUACGUGGGUGGCAAGCGUUAUCCGGCUUUACUGGGGGUAAAGGGCGUGUAGGCGGGAGUGCGAUUCAGAUGUGAAAACUAUGGGCUAAACCCAUAGCCUGCAUUUGAAACUGUACUUCUGGAGUGCUGGAGAGGCGAUCGGAAUUCCGUGUGUAGCGGUGAAAUGCGUAGAUAUACGGAGGAACACCAGUGGCGAAGGCGGAUUGCUGGACAGUAACUGACGCUGAGGCGCGAAAGCGUGGGGAGCAAACAGGAUUAGAUACCCCGGUAGUC
RNAcentral lists this ribosomal RNA (443 nucleotides) under uncultured bacterium. RNAcentral describes it as "partial 16S ribosomal RNA". It matches the Rfam family "Bacterial small subunit ribosomal RNA", at positions 338 to 795 of the family's 1533-position model. The record is from RNAcentral.